This is a small nucleolar RNA of Cryptotermes secundus, 72 nucleotides long. RefSeq annotates it as small nucleolar RNA SNORD58. The transcript has a single exon. Lineage: Eukaryota; Metazoa; Arthropoda; Insecta; Blattodea; Kalotermitidae. The record is from RefSeq and is a predicted model, not a curated record.
UUGCUGUGAUGAUUAAUCUUAGGACACCUUUAGACUGGUAUCAUGAUAAGAAUCAUAUUGCAUCUGAGCAAG